RNAcentral lists this ribosomal RNA (557 nucleotides) under marine metagenome. Its description in RNAcentral is "bacterial SSU rRNA". It matches the Rfam family "Archaeal small subunit ribosomal RNA", at positions 909 to 1467 of the family's 1478-position model. The record is from RNAcentral.
GAUUCAACGCCGGAAAACUCACCGGGGGCGACGGUUACAUGAAGGCCAAGCUGAUGACUUUGCCUGAUUUUCCGAGAGGUGGUGCAUGGCCGCCGUCAGCUCGUGCCGCAAGGUGUCCUCUUAAGUGAGGUAACGAGCGAGACCUGUGCCUACAAUUACCAUCGACUCCUUUUGGAGGAUCGAGUACAUUGUGGGAACUGCCUUGGAAACAAGGAGGAAGGUGCAGGCUACGGUAGGUCUGUAUGCCCCGAAUUCCCUGGGCUACACGCGCGCAACAAUGGUAGGGACAAUGGGAUACAACUCCGAAAGGAGAAGUUAAUCCUCUAAACCCUAUCUUAGUUCAGAUCGAGGGCUGUAACUCGCCCUCGUGACGAUGGAAUCCCUAGUAAUCGGACGUCAACAUCGUCCGGUGAAUAUGUCCCUGUUCCUUGCACACACCGCCCGUCAAAUCACCCGAGCAGGGUUUGGGUGAGGCUUACUUUUUUGAGUAUUCCGAACCUAAGCUCAGUGAGGUGGGUUAAGUCGUCACAAGGUAACCGUAGGGGAACCUGCGGUUG